AAAAGACCAAGUAAAUAAUCUAACAUUACAUCUCAAGACCCUAGAAAAAGAACGAAUCAAUAAAAACAGUAGAAGACAGGAAAAAAAUGAAAAUCAGAGCCACAAUCAAUGAAACUGAAAUUAAAAAACAAUUCAAAAAAUCAAUGAAACAAAAAGUUGCUUUUUUUGAAUAAACAAAAUUGAUAAACCCUUAGCCAAGCUACCUAAAAGAAAGAGAGGAAAACUCAAAUUAUUAAAGUUCAUUAUGAAAAAGGAAAUAUCACCACAGACAAUACAGAAAUACAGAGGAUAGUUAGAAACCAUUUUGACAAAUUAUCCUCUAAAUCUUGAAUACACUGAAAAAUUCUUAGAGAUAUAUGUCCUACCUAAAUUGAACCAGGAGGGCAUAGAAAAUGUAAACAGAUAAAUUUCAAGUAAUGAAAUUGAAGAUGCCCUCAAAAGUCAACAAGGAAAAGCCCAGGACUGGAUGGAUUCACAGCCAAGUUCUACCAGACCUUUAAAAAAUAACUAAUACUGAUCCUCCUCAAAUGAUUCCAUGAAAUAGAAAAAGUGUGAACUCCACCAAACUCAUUCUAUGAAGCUAGUAUCACCCCAAUAUCAAAACCAGACAAAGGCACAUAAAGAAAAGAAAUCUUCAGACCAAUAUAUUUGAUGAACAUAGAUGUAAAAAUUCUCAAUAAAAUAUUGGCAAAUCACAUGAAAAACAAGUUAAAAAGAUAGUGCACCAUGAUCAAGUGGGUUUUAUCCCAAGAAUGCAAGAUGGUUUCAACAUACAGAAAACACCAAAUGAAAUUCAUCACAUAAAUAGACUUAAAGACAAAAAUCACAUGGUUAUCUCAAUGUAUGCAGAAAAAGCAG
RNAcentral lists this long non-coding RNA (858 nucleotides) under Marmota monax (woodchuck). The record is from RNAcentral. Lineage: Eukaryota; Metazoa; Chordata; Mammalia; Rodentia; Sciuridae.